GACGAACGCUGGCGGCGUGCCUAAUACAUGCAAGUAGAACGCUGAAGGAGGAGCUUGCUCCUCUGGAUGAGUUGCGAACGGGUGAGUAACGCGUAGGUAACCUGCCUGGUAGCGGGGGAUAACUAUUGGAAACGAUAGCUAAUACCGCAUAACAGUAGAUGUUGCAUGACAUUUGCUUAAAAGGUGCAAUUGCACCACUACCAGAUGGACCUGCGUUGUAUUAGCUAGUUGGUGGGGUAACGGCUCACCAAGGCGACGAUACAUAGCCGACCUGAGAGGGUGAUCGGCCACACUGGGACUGAGACACGGCCCAGACUCCUACGGGAGGCAGCAGUAGGGAAUCUUCGGCAAUGGACGGAAGUCUGACCGAGCAACGCCGCGUGAGUGAAGAAGGUUUUCGGAUCGUAAAGCUCUGUUGUAAGAGAAGAACGAGUGUGAGAGUGGAAAGUUCACACUGUGACGGUAUCUUACCAGAAAGGGACGGCUAACUACGUG
This 495-nucleotide ribosomal RNA is filed under the name uncultured bacterium. RNAcentral's name for it is "partial 16S ribosomal RNA". It matches the Rfam family "Bacterial small subunit ribosomal RNA", at positions 28 to 507 of the family's 1533-position model. The record is from RNAcentral.